This 492-nucleotide ribosomal RNA is filed under the name uncultured bacterium. RNAcentral describes it as "partial 16S ribosomal RNA". It matches the Rfam family "Bacterial small subunit ribosomal RNA", at positions 29 to 507 of the family's 1533-position model. The record is from RNAcentral.
AGUGAACGCUGGCGGUGGGCCUAACACAUGCAAGUCGAACGGCAGCACAGUAAGAGCUUGCUCUUACGGGUGGCGAGUGGCGGACGGGUGAGGAAUACAUCGGCAUCUACUUUUUCGUGGGGGAUAACGUAGGGAAACUUACGCUAAUACCGCAUACGACCUACGGGUUAAAGCAGGGGAUCUUCGGACCUUGCGCGAUUGAAUGAGCCGAUGUCGGAUUAGCUAGUUGGCGGGGUAAAGGCCCACCAAGGCGACGAUCCGUAGCUGGUCUGAGAGGAUGAUCAGCCACACUGGAACUGAGACACGGUCCAGACUCCUACGGGAGGCAGCAGUGGGGAAUAUUGGACAAUGGGCGCAAGCCUGAUCCAGCCAUACCGCGUGGGUGAAGAAGGCCUUCGGGUUGUAAAGCCCUUUUGUUGGGAAAGAAAAGCAGCGGGUUAAUACCCCGCUGUUCUGACGGUACCCAAAGAAUAAGCACCGGCUAACUUCGUG